This is a non-coding RNA of Corylus avellana, 591 nucleotides long. The record is from RefSeq and is a predicted model, not a curated record. Lineage: Eukaryota; Viridiplantae; Streptophyta; Magnoliopsida; Fagales; Betulaceae.
UGUACAAGUGUAGGAGAUGUUAGAGCAGUUACUAAUAUUUACCCGAGGGGGAUUAAUCCUCUGGACAUGUAAAGAGCUUGGAAAUGCUCUUAGGGGAUCACCAAUUGACACCUUGAUCUGGUCUUGUCUUUUGCAAGAACGACAAGGAGGUGGAAAUUUCUGGCUUUAGAUUUCUGGCCAAACAGGAGCUCACAGGAAGAUUUCAAAGGUUGUUGUAAACUGAUUUUAGGAGAUUGGUUUUCUUAAUUUCUUGGAGAGGAGGGAUAUUUUUUAGGAUGGCUAAUAAUGAAGAGACAGGUAGCCCAGGUUGGGGUGCUUCGUUUGAGGUUACCCUCCAGAAAAGCAGCUGCCUCUUAAAUACAAAGAUCUUUCAUUUUGCAUCCCUGGAGGCUUGGAGGUUGGGUGUAUGCUUUUUGGGUCAAUUUUUGGAAUGAUCAGUUUGUGUAUUUGAAAGUUAGGAGCUAUAUUUCUUAUUGCUCAUGACUUCUAGUUGUUCAGCUGCUGUGGAAUCAUAACUUUAGUUAUCUCGAGCGAUUUGACUAUAAAUAGGCUUGAUGUAAUUCUCAUAACUGUUAUAUAAUAACAUCUAUU